CCCUUAGAUGUUCUGGGCCGCACGCGUGCUACACUGAGUGGAUCAGCGGGUCAGGUUGCGCGCAAGCGUUUCCUAAUCUUUAAAUCCGCUCGUGAUGGGGAUUGACGGUUGCAAUUUUCUGUCAUGAACGAGGAAUACCUUGUAAGCGCGGGUCAUCAUCCCGCGCUGAAUACGUCCCUGCCCUUUGUACACACCGCCCGUCGCUCCUACCGAUUGAGUGGUCCGGUGAGGCUUUGGGAUCUGAGCGGAAAGAGCGUUUCGCUGUUUCUGCUCGGAAAACUCAGUCGAACCUUAUCAUUUAGAGGAAGGAGAAGUCGUAACA
RNAcentral lists this ribosomal RNA (322 nucleotides) under uncultured eukaryote. RNAcentral describes it as "partial 18S ribosomal RNA". It matches the Rfam family "Eukaryotic small subunit ribosomal RNA", at positions 1470 to 1796 of the family's 1831-position model. The record is from RNAcentral.